This 253-nucleotide ribosomal RNA is filed under the name uncultured bacterium. RNAcentral's name for it is "partial 16S ribosomal RNA". It matches the Rfam family "Bacterial small subunit ribosomal RNA", at positions 524 to 776 of the family's 1533-position model. The record is from RNAcentral.
GACGGAGGGGGCGAGCGUUGUUCGGAAUUAUUGGGCGUAAAGCGCGCGUAGGCGGCUACGGAAGUCCUGAGUGAAAGCCCCUGGCUUAACUGGGGAAGGGCUUGGGAGACUCUGUGGCUUGAGUGCCGGAGGGGGAGGCGGAAUUCCUGGUGGAGCGGUGAAAUGCGUAGAGAUCAGGAAGAACGUCGGUGGCGAAGGCGGCCUCCUGGACGGACACUGACGCUGAGGAGCGACAGCGUGGGGAGCGAACGGG